Molecule: ribosomal RNA, 253 nt
Filed under: uncultured bacterium
Lineage: Bacteria
Description: partial 16S ribosomal RNA
Rfam family: Bacterial small subunit ribosomal RNA
Source: RNAcentral
UACGGGGGGGGCAAGCGUUGUUCGGAAUUACUGGGCGUAAAGGGCUCGUAGGCGGCCAACUAAGUCAGACGUGAAAUCCCCAGGCUUAACCUGGGAACUGCGUCUGAUACUGGAUGGCUUGAAUCCGGGAGAGGGAUGCAGAAUUCCAGGUGUAGCGGUGAAAUGCGUAGAUAUUAGGAGGAACACCGGUGGCGAAGGCGGCCAACUGGACAGUAACUGACACUGAGGCGCGAAAGCGUGGGGAUCAAACAGG